RNAcentral lists this microRNA precursor (109 nucleotides) under Bombyx mori (domestic silkworm). Its description in RNAcentral is "microRNA bmo-mir-2744 precursor". Lineage: Eukaryota; Metazoa; Arthropoda; Insecta; Lepidoptera; Bombycidae. The record is from miRBase by way of RNAcentral.
UCGGCAGCAGCUCAGCCUUGUCAUCGUCAUCGAAUGCCGGUGGUUGGCCUGAAGGCGUACAGGGAGGCAUAGUACGGUAUUCGGAUUUGAGAGUCCUAGCUAGUCGCCA